UACGGAGGGUGCAAGCGUUAAUCGGAAUUACUGGGCGUAAAGCGCACGCAGGCGGUUUGUUAAGUCAGAUGUGAAAUCCCCGGGCUCAACCUGGGAACUGCCUCUGAUACUGGCAAUCUUGAGUCCCGUAGAGGGGGGUAGAAUUCCAGGUGUAGCGGUGAAAUGCGUAGAGAUCUGGAAGAAUACCAGUGGCGAAGGCGGCCCCCUGGACGAAGACUGACGCUCAGGUGCGAAAGCGUGGGGAGCAAACAGG
RNAcentral lists this ribosomal RNA (253 nucleotides) under uncultured bacterium. Its description in RNAcentral is "partial 16S ribosomal RNA". It matches the Rfam family "Bacterial small subunit ribosomal RNA", at positions 524 to 776 of the family's 1533-position model. The record is from RNAcentral.